RNAcentral lists this non-coding RNA (230 nucleotides) under Exophiala sideris. RNAcentral describes it as "Exophiala sp. SST-2011 Bacterial large subunit ribosomal RNA". It matches the Rfam family "Bacterial large subunit ribosomal RNA", at positions 133 to 511 of the family's 2925-position model. The record is from Rfam by way of RNAcentral. Lineage: Eukaryota; Fungi; Ascomycota; Eurotiomycetes; Chaetothyriales; Herpotrichiellaceae.
UUGCUAUAAACCAAAGUAUUUACUAAGAAAAAUCUUAUAAAUAAACAAGGUGAACGGAAAAAUCUAAAUAACCUUAGGAAAAAAAAUCAAACGAGAUUCUACAUAUAAUGAGAAGUAAGGUAGAAAAGCCUGUAAUAAGUAAAAUGGAAUAUCUGUUUGAAUAUAGGGGAACCUUCCUCUAAGGCUAAAUAUGGUCUUAUACGCAAUAGUGAAUAGUACCGUGAGGGAAU